This 1070-nucleotide long non-coding RNA is filed under the name Capra hircus (goat). RNAcentral's name for it is "lncRNA (ENSCHIG00000004011.1)". Lineage: Eukaryota; Metazoa; Chordata; Mammalia; Artiodactyla; Bovidae. The record is from RNAcentral.
GUCAUUAUCCAACUUUUAGAGGUGAUGGAUCAUCUGCAUAGAGGGGAAUCAAUUGCUGCAAUACUCCGUAACCGGAGACGGAGGCAAUUAUCUUUAAAACAAGCCGAUUUCAAGGAUAUAUUCAAAAAGUCAACUUCAGGCUCAAAAGAAGAAUGUUCAGAGGAUGACAAGUGUAUUCUGAGUAGGUAUGUUGUUUCAUUUUCGUAUGAAACCCGUCUAUUUUCUUUUUCCUGCUACUAUUGGUCAGAAAUCAGGUUAAUAGGUGCAGAAUAUAGUGCCGUGCUGCAGUAUCCCUGUUAAGGUGGAACAAUGGUCAUGCAAGCUGAAAAUAAUACCAAAAAAAAAAAAAAAAAGCCAAACCCUAGCUGCUUUUAUUAAAUAAAGCUGCAUUGUGUGGUAUGCACAGUGCAGUCUUUAAAAAAAAAAAAAUAUAUAUAUAUAUAUAUACAUACUGCAGUCAACGCUUUCCUAACGAGGUGGCACUAUUGUGGAGUUUGAAUGGUAGAAUCAUCAUAUGGCUUUAGGGGACAGGAGGAUUUAAAGGAGGUGCCUUGCAGCCCUAUUUUGCAGAUUGGAAGCAUCGGUUUCAGGGCACUGGCAGGAUCCUUGGCUUGUUCUCCGCGGCAGCCACUGCUGUGUCAGUACAGUGUGGAAUGGAAGUCCUAGUUGGUAGUCUGUUAUGGAAACGCUGUUUACUGUUAUUGUAGUACCGUGGUGACAACAUGCCAUUGAAAUGGAAAACGAGCUCUCCUGCUAUCUGGAAAUUCCCAGUUCCUGUGCUUAAAACAUCCAGGUCAACUCCACUUUCUCCAGCAUACAUAUCUCUAGUGGAAGAGGAAGACCAGCACAUGAAAUUGUCCCUUGGAAGCAGUGAAAUGGGCCUCUCUUCCCAUUUGCAGUCUUCCAAGGCUGGAACCACACGCAUCUUUACCAGCAAUACCCACAGUUCUGUGGUGUUACAGGUAAGUUCACUGUCCCUUUUACAUUAUUUACAUAGCUUCAGAAACCAUCCAGGGUUUUUUUGGUGUGGGAUGUCACUAGUGGGAGACGUUGUGCCUGUGUGUGGACAA